AGAGUUUGAUUAUGGCUCAGGAUGAACGCUGGCGGCGUGCUUAACACAUGCAAGUCGAACGGAGUAUAUUUAAAAGCUUGCUUUGUUUAUACUUAGUGGCGGACGGGUGAGUAACGCGUGGGUAACCUGCCUUAUACCGGGGGACAACAGUUGGAAACGACUGCUAAUACCGCAUAAGCGCACAGUCUCGCAUGAGACAGUGUGAAAAACUCCGGUGGUAUAAGAUGGACCCGCGUCUGAUUAGCCAGUUGGCGGUGUAACGGACCACCAAAGCGACGAUCAGUAGCCGGCCUGAGAGGGUGAACGGCCACAUUGGGACUGAGACACGGCCCAAACUCCUACGGGAGGCAGCAGUGGGGAAUAUUGCACAAUGGAGGAAACUCUGAUGCCAGCGACGCCGCGUGAGUGAAGAAGUAUUUCGGUAUGUAAAGCUCUAUCAGCAGGAAAGAAAAUGACGGUACCUGACUAAGAAGCCCCGGCUAACUACGUGCCAGCCGCCGC
RNAcentral lists this ribosomal RNA (501 nucleotides) under uncultured bacterium. RNAcentral's name for it is "bacterial SSU rRNA". It matches the Rfam family "Bacterial small subunit ribosomal RNA", at positions 8 to 518 of the family's 1533-position model. The record is from RNAcentral.